Molecule: ribosomal RNA, 301 nt
Filed under: uncultured bacterium
Lineage: Bacteria
Description: partial 16S ribosomal RNA
Rfam family: Bacterial small subunit ribosomal RNA
Source: RNAcentral
CAGCCGCCACGGUAAUACAGAGGGUGCAAGCGUUAAUCGGAAUUACUGGGCGUAAAGCGCGCGUAGGUGGUUUGUUAAGUUGGAUGUGAAAUCCCCGGGCUCAACCUGGGAACUGCAUCCAAAACUGGCAAGCUAGAGUAUGGUAGAGGGUGGUGGAAUUUCCUGUGUAGCGGUGAAAUGCGUAGAUAUAGGAAGGAACACCAGUGGCGAAGGCGACCACCUGGACUGAUACUGACACUGAGGUGCGAAAGCGUGGGGAGCAAACAGGAUUAGAGACCCCCGUAGUCCCUGUCUCUUAUAC